Long non-coding RNA from Candoia aspera, 334 nucleotides. RefSeq lists it as uncharacterized. Lineage: Eukaryota; Metazoa; Chordata; Lepidosauria; Squamata; Candoiidae. The transcript has 2 exons. The record is from RefSeq and is a predicted model, not a curated record.
AAUGCCUGUCUUAUUACAUAAAAUGUGGAAGUUUCAGAAUGAUGUGAUCUUAAACUCUUACAUUGUAUAACUAAUGAGGAUCCCUUGUUGAACAUUAGGUGAGCUGAACAACUGUUCUAAGCGAUGGAAUGCAACUAAAGAGCAGCAUAUACUGAAGAUUUCUGUUUUGUGUACUACUGAAGGAGAGAAGGGAGGCAUAUAGCUGAGUUCUCAGUCUUCUUCAGUUCCAUAGCCAUCUUGGCAACCUGCAGAGGACUACAAAUAUUUGCUGUAGAACCAUCUGUACUCAAUAUGUAGCUCAAACAUGCAAUAAGGAUGAAAAUAAAAAGGAGAA